Molecule: ribosomal RNA, 1343 nt
Filed under: uncultured bacterium
Lineage: Bacteria
Description: 16S ribosomal RNA
Rfam family: Bacterial small subunit ribosomal RNA
Source: RNAcentral
GACGAACGCUGGCGGCGUGCUUAACACAUGCAAGUCGAACGGAAAGGCCCUGCUUUUGUGGGGUGCUCGAGUGGCGAACGGGUGAGUAACACGUGAGUAACCUGCCCUUGACUUUGGGAUAACUUCAGGAAACUGGGGCUAAUACCGGAUAGGAGCUCCUGCUGCAUGGUGGGGGUUGGAAAGUUUCGGCGGUUGGGGAUGGACUCGCGGCUUAUCAGCUUGUUGGUGGGGUAGUGGCUUACCAAGGCUUUGACGGGUAGCCGGCCUGAGAGGGUGACCGGCCACAUUGGGACUGAGAUACGGCCCAGACUCCUACGGGAGGCAGCAGUGGGGAAUAUUGCACAAUGGGCGGAAGCCUGAUGCAGCAACGCCGCGUGCGGGAUGACGGCCUUCGGGUUGUAAACCGCUUUCGCCUGUGACGAAGCGUGAGUGACGGUAAUGAGUAAAGAAGCACCGGCUAACUACGUGCCAGCAGCCGCGGUGAUACGUAGGGUGCGAGCGUUGUCCGGAUUUAUUGGGCGUAAAGGGCUCGUAGGUGGUUGAUCGCGUCGGAAGUGUAAUCUUGGGGCUUAACCCUGAGCGUGCUUUCGAUACGGGUUGACUUGAGGAAGGUAGGGGAGAAUGGAAUUCCUGGUGGAGCGGUGGAAUGCGCAGAUAUCAGGAGGAACACCAGUGGCGAAGGCGGUUCUCUGGGCCUUUCCUGACGCUGAGGAGCGAAAGCGUGGGGAGCGAACAGGCUUAGAUACCCUGGUAGUCCACGCUGUAAACGGUGGGUACUAGGUGUGGGGUCCAUUCCACGGGUUCCGUGCCGUAGCUAACGCUUUAAGUACCCCGCCUGGGGAGUACGGCCGCAAGGCUAAAACUCAAAGGAAUUGACGGGGCCCCGCACAAGCGGCGGAGCAUGCGGAUUAAUUCGAUGCAACGCGUAGAACCUUACCUGGGUUUGACAUGGAUCGGGAGUGCUCAGAGAUGGGUGUGCCUCUUUUGGGGUCGGUUCACAGGUGGUGCAUGGCUGUCGUCAGCUCGUGUCGUGAGAUGUUGGGUUAAGUCCCGCAACGAGCGCAACCCUUGUUCACUGUUGCCAGCACGUUAUGGUGGGGACUCAGUGGAGACCGCCGGGGUCAACUCGGAGGAAGGUGGGGAUGACGUCAAGUCAUCAUGCCCCUUAUGUCCAGGGCUUCACGCAUGCUACAAUGGCUGGUACAGAGAGUGGCGAGCCUGUGAGGGUGAGCGAAUCUCGGAAAGCCGGUCUCAGUUCGGAUUGGGGUCUGCAACUCGACCUCAUGAAGUCGGAGUCGCUAGUAAUCGCAGAUCAGCAACGCUGUGGUGAAUACGUUCCCGGG